Molecule: long non-coding RNA, 376 nt
Filed under: Mytilus galloprovincialis (Mediterranean mussel)
Lineage: Eukaryota; Metazoa; Mollusca; Bivalvia; Mytilida; Mytilidae
Source: RNAcentral
GACGACGUCAAAAUUUACGGGAACUUUUGUGGGGAUAGUUUAAUACUUGCUAACAAAUGCCAUUGACAAUUAUGAAUCAUUUUAUAGUACAACAAACAUGGAGUAGUAAUGAUCGUAAAACUCUUCCAAAUUUUCAAUGUUUCAAAAUGCCUCUAUAGGAAAUGUUACCAUAAAUAUAUAAGGAGUAUAAUGCUGUUGUUGGACAACUAUAGUAUAUUUGAUUCAUAAUUUUAAUUUUCUUUAUAAAAUGUUUGACUGUUUUAGUUAUUGCAUUAGUCUAUUUGCCUUACAUAAAACUAUUGUCGGAAGUAUAUGAUAAAGCGAUUAAUACAUGGCCUUUUCCAUAUCAGCCUGGGUAUCAUCCCUCGACCCAUAU